UACGGGACGCAGCAGUGAAAUUUUUGGACAAUGGGGAAACCCUGAUCAGCCAUCCCGCGUGUGCGAUGAGCCUUCCGGGUUGUAAAGCACUUUUUGGCAGAAAGAAACAGCGCAGGAUAAUACCCCGUGCAAUGACGGUACCGCAGAAUAAGCACCGGUAACUACGUGCCAGCAGCCGCGAGUAAUACGUAGGAGUGCAAGCGUUAAUCGGAAUUACUGGGCGUAAAGCGUGCGCAGGCGGUUCGGAAAGAAAGAUGUGAAAUCCAGAGCUUAACUUUGGAACUGCAUUUUUAACCACCGAGCUAGAGUGUCAGAGGGAGGUGGAAUUCGCGAUAGCCAGCAGUGAAAUGCGUAGAUAUGCCGGAAGACACCGAUGGCGAAGGCAGCCUCCUGGGAUAACACGACGCUCAUGCACGAAAGCGUGGGGAGCAAACAGGAUUAGAUACCCCGUAGU
RNAcentral lists this unclassified non-coding RNA (454 nucleotides) under uncultured Bordetella sp. Its description in RNAcentral is "partial 16S-23S ribosomal RNA intergenic spacer". It matches the Rfam family "Bacterial small subunit ribosomal RNA", at positions 340 to 794 of the family's 1533-position model. The record is from RNAcentral. Lineage: Bacteria; Pseudomonadati; Pseudomonadota; Betaproteobacteria; Burkholderiales; Alcaligenaceae.